GAUGAACGCUGGCGGCGCGCCUAACACAUGCAAGUCGAACGGAGAUAACCGUAGCAAUAUGGUUGUCUUAGUGGCGGACGGGUGAGUAACGCGUGAGGAACCUGCCUUUCGGAGGGGAAUAACACAUCGAAAGAUGUGCUAAUACCGCAUAACGUCAUUGGGUGGCAUCAUCUGAUGACCAAAAGAGCAAUCUGCCGAAAGAUGGCCUCGCGUCCGAUUAGAUAGUUGGUGAGGUAAUGGCCCACCAAGUCUGCGAUCGGUAGCCGGACUGAGAGGUUGAACGGCCACAUUGGGACUGAGACACGGCCCAGACUCCUACGGGAGGCAGCAGUGGGGGAUAUUAGUCAAUGGAGGAAACUCUGAACUAGCGACGCCGCGUGAGGGAAGAAGGUCUUCGGAUUGUAAACCUCUGUCUUCGGGGACGAUAAUGACGGUACCCGAGGAGGAAGCCCCGGCUAACUACGUG
This 466-nucleotide ribosomal RNA is filed under the name uncultured bacterium. RNAcentral describes it as "bacterial SSU rRNA". It matches the Rfam family "Bacterial small subunit ribosomal RNA", at positions 28 to 507 of the family's 1533-position model. The record is from RNAcentral.